CCUACGGGAGGCAGCAGUGAGGAAUAUUGGUCAAUGGACGAGAGUCUGAACCAGCCAAGUAGCGUGAAGGAUGACUGCCCUAUGGGUUGUAAACUUCUUUUAUAAAGGAAUAAAACGAGGCACGUGUGCCUUUUUGCAUGUACUUUAUGAAUAAGGAUCGGCUAACUCCGUGCCAGCAGCCGCGGUAAUACGGAGGGUGCAAGCGUUGUCCGGAAUCAUUGGGCGUAAAGGGUUCGUAGGUGGCAUAUUAAGUCUGGUGUGAAAUGCAGAAGCUCAACUUGUGUUCUGCACUGGAUACUGGUAAGCUUGAGUGCGGUAGAGGUAGAGGGAAUUCCUGGUGUAGCGGUGAAAUGCUUAGAUAUCAGGAGGAACAUCGGUGGCGUAAGCGCUUUACUGGGCCGUAAUUGACACUGAGGAACGAAAGCGGGGGUAUCAAAUGGGAUUAGAUACCCUGGUAGUC
RNAcentral lists this ribosomal RNA (460 nucleotides) under uncultured bacterium. RNAcentral's name for it is "partial 16S ribosomal RNA". It matches the Rfam family "Bacterial small subunit ribosomal RNA", at positions 338 to 795 of the family's 1533-position model. The record is from RNAcentral.